GGGUCCUAUAGGGCCGUGGGGUCCUAUGGGGGCUGUGGGGUCCUAUGGGGUCUGUGGGGGCUGUGGGUCCCACCCGUGUCUGUGGGCCCCAUAGGGAUGUGGGGUCUGUGGGGUCCUAUGGGGUCUGUGGGGUCCUAUGGGGUCUGUGGGGUCUGUGGGCUCUGUGGGGCUGUGUGGGCUGUAGGAUCCUAUGGGGUCUGUGGGGUCCUAUGGGGGUCUGUGGGGUCUGUGGGUCCCACCCGUGUCUGUGGGCCCCAUAGGGAUGUGGGGUCUGUGGUGUCCUAUGGGAUCUGUGGGGUCCUAUGGGGUCUGUGGGCUCUGUGGGCUCUGUGGGGCUGUGUGGGCUGUGGGAUCCUAUGGGGUCUGUGGGAUCCUAUGGGGUCUGUGGGGUCUGUGGGUCCCACCCGUGUCUGUGGGCCCCAUAGGGAUGUGGGGGCUGUGGGGUCCUAUGGGGUCUGUGGGGUCUGUGGGUCCCACCCGUGUCUGUGGGCCCCAUAGGGCUGUGGGUUCUGUGGGGUCCUAUGGGGUCCUGAGGGGUCUGUGGGGUCCUAUGGGGUCUGUGGGGUCUGUGGGCUCUGUGGGGCUGUGUGGGCUGUGGGAUCCUAUGGGGUCUGUGGGAUCCUAUGGGGUCUGUGGGGUCUGUGGGUCCCACCCGUGUCUGUGGGCCCCAUAGGGAUGUGGGGGCUGUGGUGUCCUAUGGGGUCCUGUGGGGUCUGUGGGGGUCUAUGGGGUCUGUGGGGUUCUGUGGGUCCUGUGGGGGGUCCUAUGGGGUUUGUGGGUUCCUAUGGGGUCUGUGGGGUUCUGUGGGUCCUGUGGGGUCCUAUAGGGUUCUAUGGGGUUCUGUGGGGUUUUAUGGGGUUCUGUGGGGUUCUGUGGGUCCUGUGGGGUCCUAUAGGGUUCUAUGGGGUUCUGUGGGUCCUGUGGGGUCCUAUAGGGUUCUGUGGUGUCACAGGGUGACGCAGGGACCCCAUAGAGACCCAAAGGGGGACGGCGGCACCCCAUAGGGACCCCAUAGGGACCCCAUAGGGGAACACCCAUAGGGUGACAGCGGGACCCCGUAAAGACCCCAUAGGGGGACACUGGGACCCCAUAGGGACCCCAUAGAGACACCUAUAGGGUGACGCCAGGACCCCAUAGGGACCCUAUAGCGACCUCACGGCUGCCCCAUAUUGGGACGCCCAGAGGGGCCCCAUAGGGGGACUCCCAUAGGGUGACAGCGGGGCACAAAUAGGGUCACCCGUAGGGACCCCAUAGGGGGACUCCCAUAGGGUCAUGUAGGGGCUUUACAUGGGGUCAGCACAUGGGGGACCCUAUAGCGACCCCAUAGCAGCCCCACAGGGACCCCAUAUAAGGACCCUAAAUAGGGACCCCAUAGGGUGACACCGGGACCCCAUAGGGACCCCAUAGGGUGGCGCCAGGACCCCAUAGGGACACCAUAGGGACCCCAUAGGGGGACUCCCAUAGGG
Molecule: long non-coding RNA, 1466 nt
Filed under: Gallus gallus (chicken)
Lineage: Eukaryota; Metazoa; Chordata; Aves; Galliformes; Phasianidae
Description: lncRNA (ENSGALG00010000752.1)
Source: RNAcentral